Long non-coding RNA from Oxyura jamaicensis (ruddy duck), 1264 nucleotides. RefSeq lists it as uncharacterized. The transcript is spliced from 3 exons. The record is from RefSeq and is a predicted model, not a curated record. NCBI's taxonomy places the organism in Eukaryota, Metazoa, Chordata, Aves, Anseriformes, Anatidae.
CUGGCUGAGUCGAGUGGAGAAAUGAACCUUCAAGCAGCUAAAAAAGGCACUCGAUGCAGUCUUGGGAAGCCCUGGAUUUCACUAAAGAUACAGAGCCAAGCCAGAAAGAUAGUAACAAUGGUAGAUGGGGUAAAAAGAAGAAAAGUCUCUGAAGACUCCAAAGGGCAGCAGAAAAGAAAAACAGAAAAUAGGUUCUGGUAACUGUAAAUCAAAGACAAUCCAGAUCAGCUUGCAGCGGAUCUGCCUUAAAAGGAGACCAUCAACAGACUAAACAGCUAGAUUGGAGAUGCUGUGGGGAUACAUGCUGCAUAACAGCAAAGGUAAAUUGAAGAGGACAAACCAGAAUCUCCUUGUUUCUGACCUAGUAGACGUGCUCCUGGCCACAGGGCCCUCAUGGAUCAAAUAUUGCACAACAAAAUACAACCCAUUAAUACUGUGUUUUCAGGUUGAAAAUCAUGUGCUUGCUCCCCAGCUGCUAUGCUGAGACAGGACUUUCUUUGCUGGUCGUAACGCUGACUGAAUGGGAACUGUAUUCUUCAGAUCUCUAUUGCCCUCUGGCCUCACUAUCCCCGUGCCCUCGGUAAACAUAACUGCUCCAUCUUCUCAAUUCAUCUACAUGACAGAAAAAGAAAUAAUGUUUUUAUUCAAAUUAAGCACCAACUAUUUGCUCCUGCAUAGGUCAGGAUAAUCGCUGAAGGUUACAGAUAUAAAACAGUGCUAUCAUUUUUUAUUAAUAUUAACAACCCAUCUUUGUUUAAAGCUUUUGGCUUUGUAUUUUAUUUCACCUAUGAUACAGUUAUUACCUCACAAAAUGGAAGAGUUCCUUUUUUAUCCACUCAGGUCACUGUAAAAAAUAUAUUAAAAAAUGAUGAUUUACAGUGAAUAAGAAGCAAUAUGUAGCACCUUUCAACCACAAGGACUUCAAACUGCUACUCAAAUUGUAUGCGCAUUAAGGGAUUGUUUCACUCAUCUGUCUCUGAAGCCUAACACGGCAGCUCUUCUGCAGCACACAGCCAGAGUUCAAGAAUUGGAAAAAAAAUUGCCUGUCCUAUGGAAACUAUAACAGAAAAUAAGGAACCAGUGUAAAUUUCUGAGCUGAAAUUUUAUCAGAACAUUAGUACCUGCCAAACAAGCCGUAAUGCAAUGCCACGAUGGGUGCCAGGCUGAGGUGCUGGCUCUUGGAGCAACAAACUUUCAUCAGCAGCACCAGCUCUUGCCCUGCCUUCUACGUUCACUUGCUUACCUUCUGCUCAGCUUUGCUAUC